UCGACAAGACCACACGGAUGCUGGAACGAGUACUGAACGAAACACCAAGUACCACUACCGCCGCUAUAAUUUUGACAAGAAAUGUGUACCACUACCGUCGCCAGUACGUCUACCAUCGUCAUGUACCCCUACUUCCACUACCGUCGCGAGAACAACUACUUCCUCUACGAACUCGAACCGCUCUGAGAAUCCUCCCUUGUAAGGUAUAACCGCCGGAAUGAUGCCUGUGGACAAAUGCUUGUGAUGUGUUGUAUGAGAUGCUCCUGUUUGGCCAUGUUCGCACCGUGUCCAUUUUGUCACUCGUUUCCUUGCCACCGAUACAUGGGAAACCCGGUAUCCGGGAUCACUCCCCGUACCUCUUUCACAUUCCGCACAUCUCACAUUUGUUUCUUGCAUCGGCAUCUCAACUAGUUGUCGGAUCAUCGGAACGUUGCCGUGGCACCAUUUCCGUUUUCGCCGCCAUGACACCCCUUUCUUUCCGUCGUGGCGACCAAAUGCCCCAUAUCAUCAUCAUGUCAACUUUUUCAUAAAAUUUGCCUAAAACUUGUACAUGUCAUCCGCAUCAUGAUAACAACAUCAAGAAUGUUUAAAUUGUUGUUGCAUUAAAUUGCUAAUGCACAUGAGGAUUUACCGGAAUUGUUGUUUGAUGUUUCCGGCCUCAUUUAAAAUGCCUAAAUGUGUAGUUUACUUAUGUUUCACCUCUUGACAUGUUUAAUAACAUUUAAUAUUGUUGAGUACUUAAACGGGAGAGAACUAAAUAAUUAUUGUUGUGUUUCCUUAAUAUGCAACUCGUUGCAUAUUGAGCUCCAUUGAACUUGUAGUUUUGCUUGUGCAUUUUGCCAGGUUGUGCCUCAUUAAACCGGACAUGCAUCAUACUUGAUUUUGCAUCAUGCCAUGAUUAUGUGAUGGUUGUUUACUAUGUUGUUUGCUUCUUUCCGGUGUUGCUUCUUCGGGUUAGUUCCGAUAACGUCGCGUUUGUCAGGAUCCGUUCGACUACGUCCGCUUGCCUUCUUCAUGGACUCGUUCUUCCUCCUUGCGGUAUCUCAGGAAAGAUGACCAUACCCUCGAAAUCACUUCUAUCUUUGCUUGCUAGUCGAUCGCUCUAUUGCUAUGCCGCGCUACCUACCACUUGCUAUCUUUGCUAGUCCGGGAAGUGAACACGGUUCUUGUGUUAUGCUUGAACAUAAGUAGAUUCAGGAUCACUUCUUGAUCACUUCUAGUUCACGACCGUAGCGUUGCUUCUCUUAUUGCUCUUAUAUGCGUAAGUUAGCCACCAUAUAUGCUUAGCGCUUGAUGCAGAUCCACCUCACUAUCCCUUUCCUACCCAUAAGCUUAAAUAGUCUUGAUCUCGCGGGUGUGAGAUUGCUGAGUUCUCGUGGCUCACAGAUACUUCCAAACAGUUGCAGGUGCCGAUGAUACUAGUGCAGAUGACACCACCCAGCUCAGGUGGGAGCUCAUUGAAGAUCUUGGUCGUUGUUUUAUGUUUUUUCCAGUUGAUCAGUAUUGGAGCCCAGUUGGGACGAUCAGG
RNAcentral lists this long non-coding RNA (1528 nucleotides) under Triticum aestivum (bread wheat). Its description in RNAcentral is "long non-coding RNA (TAES_LNC010251)". The record is from RNAcentral. Lineage: Eukaryota; Viridiplantae; Streptophyta; Magnoliopsida; Poales; Poaceae.